RNAcentral lists this ribosomal RNA (453 nucleotides) under uncultured bacterium. Its description in RNAcentral is "bacterial SSU rRNA". It matches the Rfam family "Bacterial small subunit ribosomal RNA", at positions 349 to 793 of the family's 1533-position model. The record is from RNAcentral.
CAGCAGUGGGGAAUAUUGGACAAUGGGGGAAACCCUGAUCCAGCCAUGCCGCGUGUGUGAAGAAGGCCUUCGGGUUGUAAAGCACUUUCAGUGGGGAGGAAAGGUUGUUGGUUAAUACCUAACAGCUGUGACGUUACCCACAGAAGAAGCACCGGCUAACUCCGUGCCAGCAGCCGCGGUAAUACGGAGGGUGCAAGCGUUAAUCGGAAUUACUGGGCGUAAAGCGUGCGCAGGCGGUCUGUUAAGCGAGAUGUGAAAGCCCCGGGCUCAACCUGGGAACUGCAUUUCGAACUAGCAGACUAGAGUCUUGUAGAGGGGGUAGAAUUCCAGGUGUAGCGGUGAAAUGCGUAGAGAUCUGGAGGAAUACCGGUAGCGAAGGCGGCCCCCUCGGACAAAGACUGACGCUCAGGCACGAAAGCGUGGGGAGCAAACAGGAUUAGAUACCCUCGGUAG